This 252-nucleotide ribosomal RNA is filed under the name uncultured bacterium. RNAcentral's name for it is "partial 16S ribosomal RNA". It matches the Rfam family "Bacterial small subunit ribosomal RNA", at positions 524 to 776 of the family's 1533-position model. The record is from RNAcentral.
UACAGAGGGGGCAAGCGUUAUUCGGAAUUAUUGGGCGUAAAGGGCGCGUAGGCGGCCUGACAAGUGGAAGGUGAAAUCCCUCGGCUUAACCAGGAACUGCCCUCCAAACUGUUUGGCUUGAGACCGGGAGAGGUGAGUGGAAUUCCCAGUGUAGCGGUGAAAUGCGUAGAUAUUGGGAGGAACACCAGUGGCGAAGGCGGCUCACUGGACCGGCACUGACGCUGAGGCGCGAAAGCGUGGGGAGCAAACGGG